Syngnathus acus (greater pipefish) is the source of this 186-nucleotide long non-coding RNA. RefSeq lists it as uncharacterized. The record is from RefSeq and is a predicted model, not a curated record. The transcript is spliced from 3 exons. Lineage: Eukaryota; Metazoa; Chordata; Actinopteri; Syngnathiformes; Syngnathidae.
AUUUAAAUGCCCCCCCGUGUGGAAUUUUUGGCCACAAACUGAGCAUGAAAAAGGUUUCUCACCCGUGUGGAUUCUUGCGUGCAUAUUUAAACUUCCCCUCUGAGAGAACUUUUGGCCACAAACUGAGCAUGAAAAAGGUUUCUCGCCAGUGUGGAUUCUUGUGUGCUUUUUUAAACUUCCCCUCUC